Molecule: non-coding RNA, 753 nt
Organism: Paramuricea clavata
Lineage: Eukaryota; Metazoa; Cnidaria; Anthozoa; Malacalcyonacea; Plexauridae
Source: the annotation of a GenBank genome assembly
UCUGGCUCAAAAGCGACGUUUUAAUGCAUUAAAAGAACAGUUCUUCGCAGUGAUAUUUGCUAAUAUAUUGUUUACAAACACGCGCCGUAGGUCUAUAUGAACAACUGGAGUUACACUUUGUGCUCAUCCGACAAACAUUGCACUCUAGGUAUAUGAAUGUGUCUAGCCCGCGAACGGGCUAGCCACAAAAACGAAGUGCAGGUAGACCAACAUGUCACGAAACCCUAUCCAAACUAGACAAUGAAAACCAAGAGAUCAUAACAUCCAAAGAAUUAAUCCUAUACACAUUGGACGGAAGGGAAAAAAAGAAAAAGACUGUACUAACACGCAGUAAAGAAAACAUAAAACUUUACAACAUGAAACAUUUUGGUUGUUAUGAAUACAUCACUGAAGAAUGUCAGAAAACCUUAGACAUCAUUAAAGAACAAAAAAAAAAAUUAGAAAAAACUCCUAUACAUGGAGAAAAUGUUAGAAAAAAAAAUUUUUGGUGAAAAAUCCUGUAAAUAGAAUAACUAAAUCUUUUUAAUAAAUCUUCAACUCAAACUAAAAACGAUGUAAUUUCUAUACUCAAAAAACACACAUACCCAUAAAUCACCCCAAAUACCCUCUCUCACACAUAUUUCCAGUGCAACUGACCGCAACACGUUCCCAUUGGCAGGCGUCGCAGACCAAUCGUGUGCGUCAAUUACAUCACGGCAAAUAAAAUGCCGCACACUUUCAAAUCCCAUCAGUUCGGUCGACCAAUGCUUUGGG